AACGCUGGCGGCGUGCCUAAUACAUGCAAGUCGAGCGAAUGGAUUGAGAGCUUGCUCUCAAGAAGUUAGCGGCGGACGGGUGAGUAACACGUGGGUAACCUGCCCAUAAGACUGGGAUAACUCCGGGAAACCGGGGCUAAUACCGGAUAAUAUUUUGAACUGCAUGGUUCGAAAUUGAAAGGCGGCUCGGCUGUCACUUAUGGAUGGACCCGCGUCGCAUUAGCUAGUUGGUGAGGUAACGGCUCACCAAGGCAACGAUGCCGUAGCCGACCUGAGAGGGUGAUCGGCCACACUGGGACUGAGACACGGCCCAGACUCCUACGGGAGGCAGCAGUAGGGAAUCUUCCGCAAUGGACGAAAGUCUGACGGAGCAACGCCGCGUGAGUGAUGAAGGCUUUCGGGUCGUAAAACUCUGUUGUUAGGGAAGAACAAGUGCUAGUUGAAUAAGCUGGCACCUUGACGGUACCUAACCAGAAAGCCACGGCUAACUACGUGCCAGCAGCCGCGGUAAUACGUAGGUGGCAAGCCGUUAUCCGGAAUUAUUGGGCCGUAAAGCGCGCGCAGGUGGUUUCUUAAGUCUGAUGUGAAAGCCCACGGCUCAACCGUGGAGGGUCAUUGGAAACUGGGAGACUUGAGUGCAGAAGAGAAAGUGGAAUUCCAUGUUGUAGCGGUGAAAUGCGUAGAGAUUAUGGAGGACCACCAGUGGGCGAAGCGACUUUCUUGGUCUGUAACUUGACACUGAGGCGCGAAAGCGUGGGGGAGCAAACAGGAUUAGAUACCCUGGUAGUCCACCCCGUAAAC
Molecule: ribosomal RNA, 801 nt
Filed under: Bacillus thuringiensis
Lineage: Bacteria; Bacillati; Bacillota; Bacilli; Caryophanales; Bacillaceae
Description: bacterial SSU rRNA
Rfam family: Bacterial small subunit ribosomal RNA
Source: RNAcentral